CGAAUAGCGCAGGUGCCAAACGGAGACAGCCGUUAUGGCCGACGAGGCAGAGGGUUAUCGAAUCAUCAGCGGAUGCUCUCUCGGCACACUCAUGUCGUAACAGAUAAGGCAAAAACAGUUGGUAACAGCUGCGACAAAGAUUAUCU
This 146-nucleotide non-coding RNA is filed under the name uncultured Veillonella sp. Its description in RNAcentral is "glmS glucosamine-6-phosphate activated ribozyme". It matches the Rfam family "glmS glucosamine-6-phosphate activated ribozyme aptamer", at positions 9 to 156 of the family's 167-position model. Rfam says of the family: This entry contains a glucosamine-6-phosphate activated ribozyme that is found in the mRNA for GlmS. GlmS is an enzyme that uses fructose-6-phosphate and glutamine to generate glucosamine-6-phosphate. The record is from RNAcentral. Lineage: Bacteria; Bacillati; Bacillota; Negativicutes; Veillonellales; Veillonellaceae.